AUCUAAUUGACGAGUCCUAAAUAGGAUGAAAUGUGUGUCAAACUGGAU
Molecule: non-coding RNA, 48 nt
Filed under: Schistosoma margrebowiei
Lineage: Eukaryota; Metazoa; Platyhelminthes; Trematoda; Strigeidida; Schistosomatidae
Source: RNAcentral